Molecule: ribosomal RNA, 426 nt
Filed under: Geastrum rubropusillum
Lineage: Eukaryota; Fungi; Basidiomycota; Agaricomycetes; Geastrales; Geastraceae
Description: partial large subunit ribosomal RNA
Rfam family: Eukaryotic large subunit ribosomal RNA
Source: RNAcentral
UCCUUUGGAACAAGGCGUCAUAGAGGGUGAGAAUCCCGUCUACGACACGGACUGCCAGUGCUUUGUGAUACACUCUCAACGAGUCGAGUUGUUUGGGAAUGCAGCUCAAAAUGGGUGGUAAAUUCCAUCUAAAGCUAAAUACGGGCGAAAGACCGAUAGCGAACAAGUACCGUGAGGGAAAGAUGAAAAGCACUUUGGAAAGAGAGUUAAACAGUACGUGAAAUUGUUGAAAGGGAAACGCUUGAAGUCAGUCGCGUCUUCAGAAAUUCAGCCUGGCUUCUGCCUGGUGUACUUUUCUGUUGGACGGGCCAGCAUCAGUUUUGGCCGCCAGAAAAAGGUGGGAGGAAGGUGGCACCUCCGGGUGUGUUAUAGCCUCUCAUCGUAUGUGGCGGCUGGGACUGAGGAUCGCAGCAUGCCUUCAUGGCC